Molecule: ribosomal RNA, 482 nt
Filed under: uncultured bacterium
Lineage: Bacteria
Description: partial 16S ribosomal RNA
Rfam family: Bacterial small subunit ribosomal RNA
Source: RNAcentral
AUUGAACGCUGGCGGCAUGCUUUACACAUGCAAGUCGAACGGUAACAGGCCGCAAGGUGCUGUCGAGUGGCGAACGGGUGCGUAAUGCAUCGGAACGUGCCCAGUCGUGGGGGGUAACUACUCGAAAGAGUAGCCAAUACCGCAUACGAUCUAUGGAUGAAAGCGGGGGACCGUAAGGCCUCGCGCGAUUGGAGCGGCCGAUGUCAGAUUAGCUAGUUGGUGGGGUAAAGGCUCACCAAGCCAACGAUCUGUAGCUGGUCUGAGAGGACGACCAGCCACACUGGGACUGAGACACGGCCCAGACUCCUACGGGAGGCAGCAGUGGGGAAUUUUGGACAAAGGGCGCAAGCCUGAUCCAGCAAUGCCGCGUGCAGGAAGAAGGCCUUCGGGUUGUAAACUGCUUUUGUACGGAACGAAACGGCUCUGGUUAAUACCCGGGGCUAAUGACGGUACCGUAAGAAUAAGCACCGGCUAACUACGUG